CUUCGUCCCCGGAUCCCCUUUUACUCCUUGGGCGUCCAGAUCGGCUGGUUCAAGAAAGUGCUUGCCGCGCUCGCCUCCACGGACAAAGGUACAUAACAUGUUAGGCAUAUCUAGAACAAAUCAAAUCGGUGACAUGCAUAGCGCCAUGGAUAUUAUGAUCUCAUACCACACCUUGAAUCACGGGCAUGCACGUAUGUAUGCAGAGAGGAAAGAGGUGAUGGAGAGCUCGCUGUUCCUGGUGGGGGAGAUCGGCGUCAACGACUACCACCACCCCUUCCUGCAGAACAAGACGCUCGAAUGGGUCAGGCCCCUCGUGCCCCAGGUCAUCAGCUCCAUCGCUCUCUCCAUCGAGGCCCUGAUCGAGCUGGGCGCCAAGACCAUGUACGUGCCGGGCAUCUUCCCGCUGGGGUGCACCCCGCAGUACCUCGUGCUCUUCCCCGGCGACGACCGCGACCCUGCCACGGGCUGCCUCCCGUGGCUCAACGACC
This 488-nucleotide long non-coding RNA is filed under the name Hordeum vulgare. Its description in RNAcentral is "long non-coding RNA (HVUL_LNC003094)". The record is from RNAcentral. Lineage: Eukaryota; Viridiplantae; Streptophyta; Magnoliopsida; Poales; Poaceae.